AUAGCUUAAUCAAUGAAAAAGCAGCGCCAGCAAGUCGGGAGCGGGAGUCGGGAGGAUGACAAACAGAGAGCAGGAGCUGCUCGUGCAAAACGUGAAUGCGGUUUUAUUGAUUUUGUAAUAAAAAUGCGCGCGCAUCGCUCUGAUUUCUGCCAGACAGCCGAGAGCAGAGCUGGGUAGCUGGUUAGCUGGCGACAUGUUGUCGGCGGUCAGGAGAUGGAGAUGGAGAGAUGGUGACGAGCGUCAAGUACACGAGUGCAACCAAUAGAGCUGGCAGAGACAAAAGCAAAUGCCGUGGCCAAUUCAGUGCGAAAAUUGUGCAAAGCCAGGCAGCAGGGCCUGUGUGAAAAGGCAGCCCAAGUUCCAAGCAAAUGCCAGCUGGCAACUAAAUAGAAAAUAGCAAAAAAUAUUUAAUAAUAAUAAUUCAAACUAGCUGCUAGAUUGUUGUUAAUUACACAAAUUAAGUGCACGGAGCUGGCGACGGACAAGCUCCGGCCAACUUUUUAGUCUAAACUAGAAAAUUAGAAACUUACAAAAAAAAAAAAACACAAAAAUCAAUAAGUCAAGUUGUGUGUAAAAUUGAAAGCAACGCCCCCCGCACAGCGCCACACACACACACAUUGGAAAUAGAAAAAAAGUAAUCUCGCCAAGUCAAUUCCGGAUUAUAUAACAGCACGUCAAGGCGACAGGGCGUGGGCAGCAGCAGCGGGGCGUGGGGCGUGGAAUCAAUCGAUAGAACAAACAAGAUGCGCCAAUAAAUUGGCCAAGCGCACAAAAGCCAGGCCAUAAGCUAGAGCAAGGAGCAAACUCUGUCGAGGAUUAGCCAGUAGCAGGAGUAGAGCAGCGCAAUUAUGGGCAAGAAAAAGGUGGCCACCGAGGAUCUGGUGGUGCCGCCGCAGGAUACACGCAUCUGUGGCACCAUCUGCAUAUGCCAGAUGACGCUGGUGCUCAGCUCCGUGGCGCUGGUCUAUCUCACCGUGGCCAUUUAUAUGCCAUCGACCCGGGCCUUCAAGAGCGGCAUCGAUCCGACGCCCGUCAUGUGCACCACAACGCGGGCUGUGAACAAGGACAACUGCGAGUGGGGCAGCUGCGGCGAAUGGUGCCUGAGCAAAACCUCGGGCGCCUGCAUACAGAUCUAUGUGAAUCUGCGCAGCAACGGCACAAAUCUCACCUUCCAGAACUGCACGAAUUCGGCGAACAAGACGUGCUACGGCAUCGAUCAGGAUCGCGCGGACAAGGCGCGCUGCAUCAACGACGAGUGCAAGAAUCUGACGGGCACCUUUAACUGCACGGCGGGCCAGUGCCUGAACAUAACCGACGCCUUUGAGUGCAUCUUCCACAACAGCGAUGCGCCCGUCAAGUGCUCGGGUCGGCGCGGCAAGAUCAACUGCAUGGACAUCAGCGGAUUGUUCUCGUGCAGUCGUGGCACCUGCCGCAAGAUACGCACGCCGUACAAUUGCGAUAGACGCUGCGUGGACAUUCCGACGCGGAACAAGAACGUGGUGGUGCUCAGCGGGGACAAGGUGUAUCUGUCGCAGUGCCAGAAUGCCAUCAAUGCGGAGACCUUGGAGGAGGUGUGGAACGAGUCCAAUGACAAUGUGGCCAUGACAUCGUGCUAUUAUAUCAAGAACACGUCGGAUCGCGUGGAUGCGGUCGACUGCAUCAAUGGUUCCACGCUGGAGCACAGCAUGCUCAGCGAUCUGACCAACUUUACAUAUCUCAGUCAUUUGCAUGUGUCUGUCGCGACGCAGGUGCCGGAGAUAGCACCGCCCGAUGUGGACUUGACCAUUUCGAAUGAGUCCAAGCUGAUGAUCAAUUUGGAGGGUUGCGUUAAUACGCUGCAGGACGAGUGCAAGGAAUUCUUAAAGGUUUUCGGCCGUGAUGGCAGCGAUCAUAAUGCCCGGGCACGUUUCCCCUGCUUCUAUUCGCCGUCCAAGAAGGAUAUCGUGGUGGCCCGUUUCGAUCUGGAGGUCACCUAUCGCCAGUUUGUGUUCGCCUCGGUUGUGCCCUCGGUGCUGUUUGUCGUCUCCUGUUCGGUGCUAAUAAUGUGCCAGACCACCGUCUAUGUGGGCGACGAUGCCAAGAUGCGUUUCAAGGGCUGCGUCGACACCGCCUCCGUUUUGUCCAAGAACAAUCCCGGCGCACCGACCAGCGGCGACAUGGCUGGCGGCGGUGGCGACGAAGUCAUGGCCCUAUGAGAUCCGUCACGUAAGCUAACCCAAACCCAACCCAUAAGCCAAAUCGUAACUAAUCUAAAAUCUAUGCUACCAACGGAGUUCUCAGCAUUUGCCUUGCCAAACCGACAGCCUAUGGGGCAUUCCUCUGCUCCAGGAAGACAGUCCGGUGCAUCAGACGGGCGUCUUCGCUUUGCAGUAAAUGGAGUUGGGCAUUGUUAUCAAUCGCAACACUUUGUAAUCCUUCCAUCGAACUUCUAACUAGACCACACACACCUGAGCGGCUUGCAAGGACACUACCGAGCUAACAGCAAAUCACAAAGAAAACUAUAUAAAACACUACACCACAUAUGCGAGGCACGUGAAAAAUUCUCGAGUUGCGGAACAGAAUCAGA
RNAcentral lists this unclassified non-coding RNA (2566 nucleotides) under Drosophila virilis. RNAcentral's name for it is "GJ12572". Lineage: Eukaryota; Metazoa; Arthropoda; Insecta; Diptera; Drosophilidae. The record is from RNAcentral.